UCACUGACGCUGAGGCACGAAAGCGUGGGGAUAGAACAGGAUUAGAUACCCUGGUAUUCCACGCCGUAAACGAUGAUGACUAACCGUCGGCGAUAGACAGCCGGUGGCCAAGCGAAAGCGAUAAGUCAUCCACCUGGGGAGUACGUCGGCAACGAUGAAACUCAAAGGAAUUGACGGGGGCCCGCACAAGCGGAGGAACAUGUGGUUUAAUUCGAUGAUACGCGAGGAACCUUACCCGGGCUCGAACGGUGCAGGAAGAGAUCUGGAGACAGUGACGCCCUUCGGGGCCUGCAUCGAGGUGCUGCAUGGUUGUCGUCAGCUCGUGCCGUGAGGUGUCGGCUCAAGUGCCAUAACGAGCGCAACCCUUGUCGUCAGUUGCCAUCAGGUGAAGCUGGGGACUCUGACGAGACUGCCACCGCAAGGUGUGAGGAGGGGGGGGAUGACGUCAAAUCAGCACGGCCCUUACGUCCGGGGCGACACACGUGUUACAAUGGCGGCCACAGAGGGAAGCUACCUGGUGACAGGAUGCGGAUCUCGAAAAGCCGUCUCAGUUCGGACUGGAGUCUGCAACCCGACUCCACGAAGUGGAUCGCUAGUAAUC
Molecule: ribosomal RNA, 601 nt
Filed under: uncultured bacterium
Lineage: Bacteria
Description: bacterial SSU rRNA
Rfam family: Bacterial small subunit ribosomal RNA
Source: RNAcentral